This 632-nucleotide long non-coding RNA is filed under the name Chinchilla lanigera (long-tailed chinchilla). Its description in RNAcentral is "lncRNA (ENSCLAG00000025653.1)". Lineage: Eukaryota; Metazoa; Chordata; Mammalia; Rodentia; Chinchillidae. The record is from RNAcentral.
GGAGCUCCCCCGGGGUCACAGUGACCUUGAUGCGAACGCGCGGGCUCGGAGGAACCCCCACUUUCCCGCGCGCCCCAGGGGCGUGCGGGGACGGGGAGCGCGGCGCCGGCGUGCCCACACGCGUGUGGCAAAAUAAGACCAGGCCGGGUCCGCACCAGCUUUUUCGUAUCAUUCGCGAUUCCCCGCCCCGCCCCGGUGCCGGAACCCGAGGUGCCGCUGUGCGCUCUCCCCGCCCGCUCAUCCCGAGCCCCGACGUGGCGGGCAGCGCCCCCAGACCACAGCGAGGCGGCUUCCUGGAGGGCGGAGGGGCGGGGUUCUACCCCAGCUGGGCACUUCCUUGCUGCGGACCUUGCUCUGGGCCGGCCUCUCUCCGGACCUGUGUCCUGCUCCAAGCGCACCUUGCCCAGUCUCCUCGAAACUGCAGUCCCUGCUGGGACCCGCGUGCUUCUGUGCUCCAGAGAGGGAAAAUACAGCAGUCAGGUGCUUGCUAGAGCUGUGGAGAGACACCUGGAAAUUGUGCAGUAGCGAUCACCGUUACUUGCGGAGGACCAGGUGGGAGAACUGAGGCCUAACCGACCUCCUUUGUGAGCACAAAGGAGAAAGGCAGUGUGCAGGUGUGACGGCACCUUGCG